Pelobates cultripes (western spadefoot toad) is the source of this 827-nucleotide non-coding RNA. The record is from the annotation of a GenBank genome assembly. Lineage: Eukaryota; Metazoa; Chordata; Amphibia; Anura; Pelobatidae.
CAAUGGACGGUGGCCAUCUUAACUACCGAACGGCGGUCAGCGGAAUUUGGUCGUCGAGUGCCUGGAACUGUUUUCGGCAUGGCACUUGAUGAACACCCGGUCCCCCUCUGGAAGUCCCAUACGAACACCUUCUAAAUACGGCAGAAGAACGGCGUUCGGGAGUUUAAAACAGCCGAACGAGUGAAGCAUUCUCCACAAACCAGAUUGAAAAUACCUACAGUGGUUUUCAUGCAAAUUUCAUGCGAAUGAAGACCGGCUCUUGCCCUGAUUCUAUGGAACUCUGAGUCGGCUACAAUCUCGUGAAGAGACGGUCAAACUUUUACACGGUAUAACUCAAAAACUACCGAACAGAGUUUCACAAAUUUUUUAUAUGUUGCUCACAUCACCCUCAGCUACCCAGGGAUAUAUUAAUAUGUUAUGUAUAAAGUAUAUUUUUAAGACUUGUGAAAAAUUGUAACUUUUCUGGCCAGUAGAUAAUUGUGUUUGAUAAGCUGCUCAAACCCAAUUAUCUAGCCUGGCCCAGAGGAGGAGUUAUGUGUUGCAUAAAUUGAGCACCCUUGUUCCCAGUAAAACAAUCUUGUUCCAGCAUUAAGCUUUGGCUCAUGUGUGGAUUAUUCGACGAUACCAUUUAUGGGAAAAAGGGAAUGAUUGACGGGUCACAGGAUUAUACAGUCUCAACUGGUUGGCAGCAAUGAACUGGAUAAGCCCCAGUACCAAAGGGACCAAAUAUCAUAUAUAAAUGUAGAAAAGAAAUCUAGGCACUCCAAGGUGUUCCACUAAUUAGGCAAUUUUUAUUGGACCCAAGCACCAAACAACCUUUCGAUCCC